GCGAGCCCCGCGGUGACGACCCCGCCCGGGGAGUUGAUGUAGAGGUGGACCGGCUUGAGCGGGUUCUCCGACUCGAGGAAGAGCAGCUGCGCGACGACGAGCGAGGCGGUCUCGUCGGCGAUUGGCCCGUGGAUGAGCACGAUCCGCUCCUUGAGCAGGCGCGAGAAGAUGUCGUACGCCCUCUCCCCGCGCGAGGUGGUCUCGAUGACCAUCGGCACCAGGCCGAACGCCUGGUGCGACGAGUACCCCGCCGGCUGCUGC
RNAcentral lists this unclassified non-coding RNA (261 nucleotides) under Hevea brasiliensis (rubber tree). Lineage: Eukaryota; Viridiplantae; Streptophyta; Magnoliopsida; Malpighiales; Euphorbiaceae. The record is from RNAcentral.